RNAcentral lists this unclassified non-coding RNA (429 nucleotides) under soil metagenome. Its description in RNAcentral is "partial contains 5.8S ribosomal RNA, internal transcribed spacer 2, and large subunit ribosomal RNA". The stretch from base 1 to 120 matches the Rfam family "5.8S ribosomal RNA", at positions 35 to 154 of the family's 154-position model. The record is from RNAcentral.
GAUGAAGAACGCAGCGAAAUGCGAUACGUAAUGUGAAUUGCAGAAUUCAGUGAAUCAUCGAAUCUUUGAACGCAUAUUGCGCUCUUUGGUAUUCCGAAGAGCAUGCUUGUUUGAGUAUCAGUAAACACCUCAAAGACUUCAAUUUGUUUUGAAUGGCUUUGGACUUGAGCAAUCCCAACACCAGUCUUUACUAUCGGUGGAGGGUUGCUUGAAAUGCAGGUGCAGCUGGACAUUCUCCUGAGCUAAAAGCAUAUUUAUUUAGUCCCGUCAAACGGAUUAUUACUUUUGCUGCAGCUAACAUAAAGGGAGUUUGACCGUAUUGGCUGACUGAUGCAGGAUUUCACAAGGGUCGGCAACGAUUCUUGUAAAACUCGAUCUCAAAUCAAGUAAGACUACCCGCUGAACUUAAGCAUAUCAAUAAGCGGAGGA